AAGUCGUAACAAGGUUUCCGUAGGUGAACCUGCGGAAGGAUCAUUAACACGUAUCCAACGUUAAACCCCCUGUGAACUUUCAUCGUGCUCUUGCAUCCUAGGAACAGCAAUCCUAGUAGGAGAAAAACGAACAACUGUUAACAAUGGAUAUCUUGGUUCUC
Molecule: unclassified non-coding RNA, 161 nt
Filed under: fungal sp.
Lineage: Eukaryota; Fungi
Description: partial internal transcribed spacer region
Rfam family: Eukaryotic small subunit ribosomal RNA (bases 1-46)
Source: RNAcentral